Molecule: long non-coding RNA, 4672 nt
Organism: Dromaius novaehollandiae (emu)
Lineage: Eukaryota; Metazoa; Chordata; Aves; Casuariiformes; Dromaiidae
Exons: 4
Source: RefSeq, a predicted model, not a curated record
GGGGCGGGUGGCGACGCCGCUGGGGAGAUGCCAAAAAACCAAAACAAAAACCCGUUUUCGUUUUGUCCGCACCAGCCGAAAGGGGGGGGGGAAAAAAAUACAAGAAAAAAAGGGAGCGGGCGCCCGCGCGGGGGAGCGAGGGAGAUGCACGCCGCGAGGAAGCCGCCGGGCGCCGAGACGGGCCUGCGGCCGCUUCCCUCUCGAGGAGCCUCGGCAGUAAUUCUCGCUCCUUGUUCCCCUCGGCCUGCCCACUCCGGCUCGCCUGCCAAGUCCGAGUUGGCACGGCUUCCCCGGCAGCGCCAAACAAAGCCGUCGCCCGGCCCCGAGCAGGCGCUGACAGUAAGCAAAGUGACAGGCGCAUCUUCCGCGUGUUAAUCCAAGCGGCGAGCGGGCGGGCGGCCGGGCGCCGCGGCCCCCCCCGGCCACCCCCCCCCCCGCCGCCACCCCGGGCCCCCCACGGGCCGCGCGCCCCGGCCGCGGUGCUCCCCGGGCGCCCGGCGUGGGCCGCGCGAAGGCCCCCCGCGCCCAAGCGGCGCCGGGAAUCCAGAAAUCUCCCUCGGCCUCGGAGGAUUUAAAUCAAAACAAGCGCUCGAGCCACCCCGGGCCGCGGGCAAACAAGGCCACUCGGCAUCCGCGGUACCUGUUCCCGCUGUCUUCAUCUCGCCUUGGAAGCGUGACAAGAGCGAACUCGCCUCUGGUGGGCUCUCAAAGCCGCGGGGCUGUAACCCUUUGCAGGAAGUUGGCACCGAUCCCAGCAAAAAAAAAAAAAAAAAAAAAAAAACGUGUAUUUUUGCCCGGCACACUGGACCCAACGCGAGGGGAAGGAGGAGGGGGGGGGAGAAGAGAGAAAAAAAAGAAAAAAAAAGAAAAAAAAAUCGGAUGGAAACAGCGCGGCUCCAACUCGGCGAGGACAAUGCCCGGGAAAACGUCGAGAUUAGCGGAGCUCUCGAAAUCCAUCGCGCCCUCCCCGUGCCUGAACCGGUCGCCCCCUCGCCUCGCCUUUCUCGUACUCCCGGCGCCUGAAUUAUUCCAGUCCGCAAGCAGGAGGGAGCGUACAGUACCGGGUCGCGCGGAGCUGCCGAGAGCCUCGCAACAGGAAAGCGAGCGAGCGAGCGGGCGGCGAGCGCGCCACGGCGCUCACAAUCGGCCAGCGAGAAGAGCAAGGAGACAUUAACAUCCAAUUAGUGCCGUGUUUAACGAGGGAGACAGAGGCGGCUGUUGUUUUAUUGCCCUGUUCUUUUCAGUCGCAUCUGACAGGCAGCGGGGAAGGCACCCCUGCUCGAAGUGACGUCAUCAUAUUUUAUUUUUUUAUUUAUUUAUUUUUUUUCUUUCCUUUUUCCUCUCCCCCCCGGCUUUCCUCCUCCAAGUUUCUCGGCGACGUCUCGGCAGCUCGGCUAAGGGAAACUCGGCGCUUUCGGCUCCCCCCUUCUCCGCCUCCGGCCUCCUUCGCCCCCUCCCCGACGCCGGCCCUCGAAAAACAAACGCGCCAACCCACCCCGAAGUCUUUGUCCUUCCAAAAAGCCAAAAGCGAAAACGUGCGGGCGAAGGCGGCCGGCGCGCGGCGGAGGCUCUCCCGGCGCGCGGGGCUGCGUGCGUGCGUGCGUGCCUGCCUGCCCGUCUCGCUCGCGCUCCUCUGCCGAGACGGCUCGCGCGGCUUGUAAAACUUUGCGGCAUGUGACUCCGCUCCCAGCCUCCUUUGGCAGCGUGACAAGAACCGCUCCGGCGGAUCGGCGAGCGCGGGCGGCUUUUAAGGAAGAAACUCAAUUCAGAAAGAUUAAGGAAUUACGGCGUUUUUCAUCAAGGGGCCGCGCGGGCUGGGCGGCGGGCGGCCGCCGGGAGGGAAGGGGCAGCGUCGAGCGGCCGGGCCGAGGAGGGGGGAGAGGAAUCGAACCGGGAGCCGGAGAGACUUAUUUAACGGUCGUGUUUCCCUCCUCCCCUCCGCAGGCCGUGGCGGGGGGGGGCCGCGGCGACCAGCGAGUGCAGCCCGGCAGCCGGGACGGCCCCUGUGUCACCGCCGGGGCCGCCGCACGCGGGGAGGAGCGCCUUCGCCGGCACCCCGCGGCCUGGCUCGUCCCCCAAGGCCUCCUCGCGGGGCCCAACGCCGCAGAGCUCUCAUCCCCCCCCGUCAAACCCCUCCGGAGCGGCGGGGAGCCUGACCCGCUCCGGCGGGAGAUUCCCUCUUAAACCCCUCCGGAGCGGCGGGGAGCCUGACCCGCUCCCGUGGGAGAUUCCCUCUUAAACCCCUCCGGCGGCAGCUGGGGAGGCCAUGGCCAACGCGGCAGGUCAGGCCGUGGCCAGGUAACCUCCGGCUCCAAAGGUUUUUCCAAAUGUCCCCCCUAAAUCGCCGCCGGCGUGAUUCCCGGCCUUUAUUCCGCAAAUCCGAAGACUAAAUGCCGCCGUCAACCCCGGAUCCCGCACUCGCAGGGGCACGCAGGUGGGAAGGGGCGUGCGGCGGCCGGACGGGCCGGCUUCGGCCGUGCCUGGAGGAGUCCGGAGCAUCGCGGAGGCUGGAGGUGCCCCCUCCUCUGUCCCGGGGCUGCACUACACUCACGGGGAAGAACCGCCAGCUGUAAUGGGUUUUUUUUCCUUAUUUCCAGCUGAAAUUUCCCUUGGCGCUGCUGGUGCCACCUCGCCCCCGUCCUUUCGCUGUGCCCCUCUGGCUCCGUCUCCUCCGUAACCUCCCGCUUUGGGUGAAGGCUCUGCUGGGGACCGGGAUCACCCCUGCUCCCAGGCCACGGGGGACGGAGCCCUGCCAAAAUGGGGGACGGACCCGCGGCCACCGCGCCAGCUCGCCCGGCCGGAGCGGAGGUUGCGCCUGGGUCCGGUCCAAGGCCUCACCCCGAGCGUUUCCCGGCAGAACCAGCCAGCCCCACCUCCCCGCCGGCAGCAUCAAUGCCGAGAGGGUUAUUUUUUAAUUACGGGCCUACGUGGAGCUCUCCGCCGCGGGAGAACAGAGCAAACAGCCUUAUCAAGGGCAGCCACGCCGCGGGGACACUUCCUCGUGCAUGGCCGCAAGACGGGGGCCCCCUCACCGCUGCCGGGGUUGGCAAGGGCUGGCGGGGGAACCGCGGCCCACGGCCUUCCUCGCCGCUCCCAGCGACCAGAUACCAGGGUGACGGGCACCGUAGAGCCAUUUGGAGAGGGCUGCCUGGCUGGCUUCCUCCCGGCUCUGCAGAGAGGAAAGCUGCAGGGCUGGAAGCGAAUUUGGUCUUAGCCGAAGGGUCGUUAGCGGGAUGGCUCUGGAGGGGGUAAAGGGAGGAGGAUGAGACGAUUGCAAUCCGUCCAAGCUCCCUUGUUCUUUCCCUGUGCACAGGGCCAUUGGCACCAUCGGCCGAGCAGGGCACCAGCACCUUGCUGCAGCCCAAAGCCUGCAAGGGUCGAAGCGCCCCGAAGAGCCACCCAGGAGCCUGCGGGACCAGGGCCCAAGCUCGGCUCAAGAACCAGCAUCCACGCUAGCCUGAUCGCAGCAAGCAGCCCUUCCGCGAGCCGGGCACCAGCAUGGCACACGGUCAGCCGGAUCGCAGAGUCGAGGCCCCACGGGAAGCGAGGGCAGCUUUGACCUCAGUUUCCCUCUCCCGUCGGCGGCUGCGGUCCCUGCCGCUCCCGUUCCCCGGCAGCCGGGAGCAGUCCAGGCCAAAGUCCUGGCAAUCUCUGCUUUCCACUAAGGACUGACAAACACCGCGCGGGCAUGGAAAGGCAGCGAUCUCCGCCCGUCGGAUUUUCAUGCAGGAGAGAGUCAAUAUUUAAACACAGGUUUGUUUCCUUGCUAGAUAGGGAAGAGACGUGGCCCCUGCCAGGGGUCCGAGCUGCCUGGCUCUGUCCCAAGCGCCAGCUCUCCUGACCAAGCCAAACCACACGUUUCAGCCCGGAUGCCCGUCGCGGGAGCGGGAGCCCACCUCCCGCCAGCUGUGCUGCACCAGCACCAGGUGCAGGGCAGGGCACCCGCUAACGAGCUGACGAGGCCCCAGCACCCCCUGGGCAGCAAUUUAAGAGCAGUGUAGAAGCUCAGCCAGGAUUUGGGCUGUUUCCUAGCCAGCUCCUGAUGCAGGCCCUGUCCCCAUGGCAGGUCACCUUGAUUGAGGCAAGGGAUGAGAAGAACCUGGGCUAGAAAAGAGGAGGAGGGCUCCAUCUACAAUACAAAUGAGCAGGGCAGGAGGCCAAGUUAUUGCAGGACUGUUUUGUAGUGAAGAAAGGAACUUAACCAUCUCUCAUGCAUGCAAAACCCUCCACCAACAAACCUACAUCAUACAAACCCCUGCUGUGUCCUCAGAGCACUGUCAAAACAGAGCCAAGAGUUGGUUCAUCCUGAAUACGAGCCUCCUCCCGUUACAGCCUCUGCCCCCCAGUGAAUCGGCUCUUCCCCAAACAUCAGCCCCAGCCGAGGAACACGCUUCCCGUUUGGCAGCAACACAAGAGGCCGGCCGAGACCUUUAACUGCUGCUCCCUGAUGCCAGGAUAGAUGCUGAGUGUAGAGGGCUCUGCAGAGCAUCCUCUCCAUGGUACAUCCACCCUACAGCUGAAGCUGCACUGUGGAGCCCCUGAAGUGCAACAAGCCACGGGAAGAAGGCCAGCGUCUGGACCAUGACCUUCUUUUUCCCUCCUUGCGACAAGAGGUCAUGGCCUCGCACCGGCAGGAAGAAACGCUCACCGUAAGUGAAGAAGCCAGGCAGGU